Podarcis lilfordi (Lilford's wall lizard) is the source of this 77-nucleotide non-coding RNA. The record is from the annotation of a GenBank genome assembly. Lineage: Eukaryota; Metazoa; Chordata; Lepidosauria; Squamata; Lacertidae.
GACCAGAAGCAUGAUUCAGUUGGUAGAGCAUGAGACUCUUGAUCCUAGGGUUGUGGGUUUGAGCCCCACACUGGACA